AGGACUCCUGACUCCAGGUCCUGUGUGUUACCUCGAAAUAGCACUGGACUUGGAGUCAGAAGGCCU
This is a microRNA precursor of Cavia aperea (Brazilian guinea pig), 66 nucleotides long. Ensembl annotates it as microRNA 378a. The record is from Ensembl. Lineage: Eukaryota; Metazoa; Chordata; Mammalia; Rodentia; Caviidae.